Pecten maximus is the source of this 4010-nucleotide long non-coding RNA. RefSeq lists it as uncharacterized. The record is from RefSeq and is a predicted model, not a curated record. Lineage: Eukaryota; Metazoa; Mollusca; Bivalvia; Pectinida; Pectinidae. The transcript has 2 exons.
ACCAAACAGUUUCCAUUGGCAAUCUUGGAUAAUAACUUAACUUUUCAGGAGUUCAGGAGCCGCAAUGGAUAAUUAAAAAAAAGGAAAUUUUGUGUCAGAAAAUUGGAAAAUGUCCAGGCAUCUGAAAAUAAUUCCAAUAAGUUAAUAUAUCUCAGUAUAAACAUGUAUUCAAAGAUAUUUUAUCUGUAGAUAACACGAAUCGCUGCUAAGUUUCAAUACUCUUUUUUGUUUCAUUCCCUUUUUUAUCUAUAAAUGUCCUAAUCACAUAUCUAUAUACUGGCCUCAAUGAUUCACGUCUUGAUUUCAGCCUUUACGUUUUGCCCUACAUACAGCAUUAAUAGUUGACGUACUGUCACCAGUCAGGAAUUCGUAAUUUAGAUGUGUGUUUAUCUCCAAAUUGUUUUCUUCCUUAUGUCUGUCGUGUUACUGUCUCGCUCUCUGCCUUUUGUUGUUCGUUUCCAUGGAGAUAGCUUUGGACUCUGUCCCCAGACUGAUAUACCGAAGUCUCUAAAAGUCGUACGUGUUGACCUCUGAUUGACAAUCAGCACUAAUAUGGAUACACAAGAAAACGUAACUGGCUCCUUCCGGUGUUUCCAUACGAGAGAGAUGUCGUCCUAUUAUUCCAGUGACAUUAUCCGGGAGAGAUGUCAUCCUAUGAUCCCGGUGUUUCUAUCCAGGAGAGAUGUCAUGCUAUCUUUCCGGUGUUUCUAUACGUGAGAUGUCAUCCUAUUAUUCCGGUAUCACUGUCAGUGAGAGAUGUCAUGCUUUCAUCUCGGUGUUUCUAUCCGGGAGAUACAGUAUAUCAUGCUAUUAUUUCGGCAUCACUAUUCGAGAGAGAUGUCAUGCUAUCAUACCGGUGUUUCUAUCCGGGAAAGAUGUCAUGCUUUUAUCCCGGUAUUUCUAUCCGAGAGAGAUGUGAUGCUAUUAUUCCAGUGUCACUAUCCGGGAGAGAUGUCAUCCUAUGAUCCCGGUGUUUCUAUCGGGGAGAGAUGCCAUCCUAUUAUUCCAGUGUCAUUAUACGGGAGAGAUAUCAUCCUAUUAUUCCGGUGUCACUAUCAGGGAGAGAUGUCAUCCUAUUAUUCCAGUGACAUUAUCCGGGAGAGAUGUCAUUCUAUUUUUCCAGUAUCACUAUACGGGAGAGAUGUCUUGCUGUUGUUCCAGUGUCAUUAUACGGGAGAGAUGUCAUUCCAUUUUUCCAGUAUCACUAUCCGGGAGAGAUGUCAUUCCAUUUUCCCAGUAUCACUAUCCGGGAGAGAUAUCAUCCUAUUUUUCCAGUAUCACUAUCAGGGAGAGAUGUCAUCCUAUUAUCCCAGUGUCACUAUCCAGGAGAAAUGUCAUCCAAUUACUCCGGUAUCACUGUCUCGAAGAGAUGUCAUCCUUUUUAUUCCAGGAGUUUUUGUAAUCGCUUGUUAUAAAAUCUCAUCUGUCGAGGAGGAAGAUAGACACAUUAUGUAUCUCAUUUACAACCUAACACUUCGUGUUUAGAAUUAUUACAUCUGCAAAGGUAAUAAUAUUUAUCUACAUUACUUAUCUCAUUUGAAGAUAGAUAACUCGUAUAAUAUUACGUCUGCAAAGUCAAUUUACUAACAGCAUGGGAAGUUAGAUAACUCGUAUAUAACCUACCACCUCGUGUUCAGAUACACGUUUUUAUCUACAUUACAGGAGGAUAACUGAUAGUUUCCCUCAUACAACCUCCUAACAAAAAUAUACUCGAGAAGUAUUGUCAACAAGGCGGGCCUCGCCGCCAUCUAAAAAUUGAUUGGACAAUCCUAUUGUGAAACGCGUGCUUGAUUUGUGUUUUCUGUUAAAUACACAGUAUCCAUAACUUGUAAGACUCGAUUAGAAAUAACAAGGAAAAUGUAAUUCUAACUUAAAAUCGAUAAAACGAGAGCAAAUAAAAUAUAGACUUUACGUGGAGACCCAUGAAAAGUACAGGGUAAAUAGAACCAGGUGUUACGGGGGAGGAAGCGUCUUCUGCUUCACCGACCUCACUCGAAAAGACAAAACUAGCGAACAUACCCUUGAUCUCUCUUUCACUACAAUUAAAAUCAGCGCCGAAUAGCAUGUUUAGUUAAAAACGAAAUUGUUUAGCAACUACCUCAUUCAAAACAAUAAGCACAUACAAAUGUACAGGUCCUUAAUUCACAGAAUUUCUCUCACUUGUAGGUCAUUAUGAAAUUAAUUAAAUGUAAAAUAAAGUAAAAGAAUAAUUUAACAAGUCCUUAAACGUUUCCCCUAAAUGAAUAAAGUAAGUUUAUGUAAUCAUGUUUGAUUGUCGACACGGUUAGGCAUUGUUACAUUCACCAUUUAGGUGUGAUCCUGCUAAAAAGUUCCUAAUAUGAGGUGACAUAUGACAAUACAAUUUCAUUUUUGAUGUUAAACAAUGUCCCGUCAGCACACCGUAUUCACAUACCUAAUUUACCUGAAGAAUGUAGUAAAGCAGAAAUAAUUUUACCUAUUUGUUUUUGUUUUGUUUUGUUUUGUUUGUUGUUUUUUCAAACACAAUUCUUGUUAUAUCAUGUAAAAGAUUUACAGAGUUCGAUAAUAAUGCAAUAUCGCAUGAAGUAAAUAUGGCAGUAUACACAUUUGAAGGCGAUACUAACGUAUAUUUCCGACAAAGAAUAAUAAUGGUCGAUUUAUUGGGCUGGUGAAUAAUUUUUUCAAUACCAACAGCUACGUACUUGGCUUCUCUGCAUCCGGAAGUACUCCGCCUCCAUAUUUGUUUCGGUCCCCUUUGCGGCUGUUAUAACUAUUGUAAUCAUUUGGUGUUUGCUCUGAACAAAGAGGUUAUAACUUCUGUCGAUUAACAACAUACGACAGUUCUCUCCCGUUCAGUGUUGUUCAGUCUAAAUGUAACAGUUCUCUCCCGUUCAGUGUUGUUCAGUGUACAUGUAACAGUUCUCUCCCGUUCAGUGUUGUUCAGUCUACAUGUAACAGUUCUCUCCCGCUCAGUGUUAUUCUCUCCUAGAAAUACACACUAGUACUUUUAUUUGAGUACUGAAAGGGAUAAAGAGAAUUUUGAGAGUUAGAAAUGAAUUUAUCCGCAUCAUUCAGCUGUUCUCGUCAGUGAGGCUUUGGGAACAGACGUGUGGACGUCCCGAAGAAAAGUCAGGAAAAUUAAAAUAAGCCUAAAUUAAUACUGAAGUAUAGGUAGGAAUGUGAUGCUAAGAUCAUAGGAGUCGACUAAAGUACUUUACACGGGUCAAUAACAAUGUCAGAAUGGGGCUGGGGAUGUACCCAUAAUGAUAGUACCGUUUUACCAAUUAAUUAAAGUACUAUCAAUAUUGAGCACGGUUGUACUGGUGUCCAUGGUUUAUUUGAUCAUGGUGAUAACAGUAUGCUUAUACUCGUACAUGUAUCCAAGGAUGUUUGGCAAUGGUGAUACCUUAAAAGUACCGGUGUAUUUGUAUCCAGGGUGAUUUGUCAAUGGUGAUAACUGUUAACAGUACUGGUGUAUCGGUAUCCAGGGUGAUUUGUCAAUGGUGAUACAUGUACAGGUGUAUCGGUAUCCAGGGUAAUUAGGCAAUGGUGAUACCUGUUAACAGUACUGGUGUAUUGGUAUCCAGGGUUAUUAGGCAAUGGUGAUACCUGUUAACAGUACUGGUGUAUUUGUAUCCAGGGUGAUUUGUCAAUGGUGAUACAUGUACAGGUGUAUCGGUAUCCAGGGUGAUUUGUCAAUGGUGAUACAUGUACAGGUGUAUUUGUAUCCAGGGUGAUUUGUCAAUGGUGAUACCUGUACAGGUGUAUCGGUAUCCAGGGUGAUUUGUCAAUGGUGAUACAUGUACAGGUGUAUCGGUAUCCAGGGUGAUUUGUCAAUGGUGAUACAUGUACAGGUGUAUCGGUAUCCAGGGUGAUUUGUUAAUGGUGAUACCUGUACAGGUGUAUCGGUAUCCAGGGUGAUUUGUCAAUGGCGAUGCCUGUAACAGUACAGAUGUAUCGGUAUCCAGGGUUAUUAGGCAAGAAAUGCAUUAAUUCUUGUCAGAAUUAAUAAAUUAAUUUGAAUUCCAUAA